RNAcentral lists this ribosomal RNA (253 nucleotides) under uncultured bacterium. RNAcentral describes it as "partial 16S ribosomal RNA". It matches the Rfam family "Bacterial small subunit ribosomal RNA", at positions 524 to 776 of the family's 1533-position model. The record is from RNAcentral.
GCCGGAGGAGGCCAACGUUAUCCGGAAUUAUUGGGCGUAAAGGGUACGUAGGCGGCUGGUCAAGUCUGGGGUCAAAGGCCACAGCUCAACUGUGGGAAGGCCCUGGAAACUGACCGGCUAGAGUGAGGUAGGGGUUGCGGGAAUUCCCGGUGUAGCGGUGAAAUGCGUAGAGAUCGGGAAGAACACCUGAGGCGGAAGCGCGCAACUGGGCCUCAACUGACGCUGAGGUACGAAAGCUUGGGGAGAGAAUGGG